Molecule: ribosomal RNA, 789 nt
Filed under: uncultured bacterium
Lineage: Bacteria
Description: bacterial SSU rRNA
Rfam family: Bacterial small subunit ribosomal RNA
Source: RNAcentral
AGAGUUUGAUCCUGGCUCAGGAUGAACGCUAGCGGCAGGCUUAACACAUGCAAGUCGAGGGGUAGGAGAAGCUUGCUUUUCUGAGACCGGCGCACGGGUGCGUAACGCGUAUGCAAUCUACCUUUCACAAAGGGAUAGCCCAGAGAAAUUUGGAUUAAUACCUUUUAGUAUAAUUGAAUGGCAUCAUUUAAUUAUUAAAGAUUUAUCGGUGAAAGAUGAGCAUGCGUCCCAUUAGCUAGUUGGUAUGGUAACGGCAUACCAAGGCUACGAUGGGUAGGGGUCCUGAGAGGGAGAUCCCCCACACUGGUACUGAGACACGGACCAGACUCCUACGGGAGGCAGCAGUGAGGAAUAUUGGACAAUGGGCGCAAGCCUGAUCCAGCCAUGCCGCGUGCAGGAUGACGGUCCUAUGGAUUGUAAACUGCUUUUAUACAGGAAGAAACACCUCUACGUGUAGAGACUUGACGGUACUGUAAGAAUAAGGAUCGGCUAACUCCGUGCCAGCAGCCGCGGUAAUACGGAGGAUCCAAGCGUUAUCCGGAAUCAUUGGGUUUAAAGGGUCCGUAGGCGGUCAGAUAAGUCAGUGGUGAAAGCCCAUCGCUCAACGGUGGAACGGCCAUUGAUACUGUCUGACUUGAAUUAUUAGGAAGUAACUAGAAUAUGUAGUGUAGCGGUGAAAUGCUUAGAGAUUACAUGGAAUACCAAUUGCGAAGGCAGGUUACUACUAAUAUAUUGACGCUGAUGGACGAAAGCGUGGGUAGCGAACAGGAUUAGAUACCCUGGUAGUCC